RNAcentral lists this ribosomal RNA (253 nucleotides) under uncultured bacterium. RNAcentral's name for it is "partial 16S ribosomal RNA". It matches the Rfam family "Bacterial small subunit ribosomal RNA", at positions 524 to 776 of the family's 1533-position model. The record is from RNAcentral.
UACGAAGGGGGCUAGCGUUGUUCGGAAUUACUGGGCGUAAAGAGUUCGUAGGCUGUGUCAUAAGUCAGUGGUGAAAUCCCGAAGCUUAACUUCGGAACUGCCAUUGAAACUGUGACACUGGAAUCUCAGAGGGGAUAGCGGAAUUCCAAAUGUAGGGGUGAAAUCCGUAGAUAUUUGGAGGAACACCGGUGGCGAAGGCGGCUAUCUGGAUGAGUAUUGACGCUGAGGAACGAAAGCGUGGGGAUCAAACAGG